GAUGAACGCUGGCGGCGUGCCUAAUACAUGCAAGUCGAGCGAACAGACGAGGAGCUUGCUCCUUUGACGUUAGCGGCGGACGGGUGAGUAACACGUGGGUAACCUACCUAUAAGACUGGGAUAACUUCGGGAAACCGGAGCUAAUACCGUAUAAUAUUUUGAACCGCAUGGUUCGAUAGUGAAAGAUGGCUUUGCUAUCACUUAUAGAUGGACCUGCGCCGUAUUAGCUAGUUGGGAAGGUAACGGCUUACCAAGGCAACGAUACGUGGCCGACCUGAGAGGGUGAUCGGCCACACUGGAACUGAGACACGGUCCAGACUCCUACGGGAGGCAGCAGUAGGGAAUCUUCCGCAAUGGGCGAAAGCCUGACGGAGCAACGCCGCGUGAGUGAUGAAGGUCUUCGGAUCGUAAAACUCUGUUAUUAGGGAAGAACAAACGUGUAAGUAACUGUGCACGUCUUGACGGUACCUAAUCAGAAAGCCACGGCUAACUACGUG
RNAcentral lists this ribosomal RNA (497 nucleotides) under uncultured bacterium. Its description in RNAcentral is "partial 16S ribosomal RNA". It matches the Rfam family "Bacterial small subunit ribosomal RNA", at positions 28 to 507 of the family's 1533-position model. The record is from RNAcentral.